This 1400-nucleotide unclassified non-coding RNA is filed under the name uncultured Neocallimastigales. Its description in RNAcentral is "partial contains small subunit ribosomal RNA, internal transcribed spacer 1, 5.8S ribosomal RNA, internal transcribed spacer 2, and large subunit ribosomal RNA". The stretch from base 626 to 1400 matches the Rfam family "Eukaryotic large subunit ribosomal RNA", at positions 1 to 628 of the family's 3401-position model. The record is from RNAcentral. Lineage: Eukaryota; Fungi; Neocallimastigomycota; Neocallimastigomycetes; Neocallimastigales.
UUUCCGUAGGUGAACCUGCGGAAGGAUCAUUAAUAAAUGGUCUACGUUUUUUAAGUAGACGCUUAAUAAUCCUACCCUUUGUGAAUUUGUUUGUUUGAAAUAAUUUUUUUUAAAAUUAUUGAAUGUCUUUCCCUGUUGAAUUGGUUGUCUUUAAUGGCAAGUGAUUCGCAGGGGAGUGUCAAUAAUUUUUAAAAAGACCUUUUUUAAAAUUAAACUUUUUGUAUUCAUUUGUCUAAAAAUUAUUUUUAUAAUAUAAAAACAACUUUUGACAAUGGAUCUCUUGGUUCUCGCAACGAUGAAGAACGCAGCAAAAUGCGAUAAGUAGUGUGAAUUGCAGAAUACGUGAAUCAUCGAAUCUUCGAACGCAUAUUGCACUUUUUUAGUUUACUAAAAAAGUAUGUCUGUUUGAGUAUCAGUAAAAUAUUCUCAUAAAAACUUUUUGUUUUUAUGGUUAUGAGUGUUUUACAACGAUACAAGUUGUUUCACUUUAAAUUUUUUUAAAAUUUGAAUUUUUCUAAUUUUAAAAUAAAAUUGGAUAAAAUUUUCCCGUAAAAAGGAAUAACCUAAACAAUUUUAAUUUUUGAUUAGAAAAUCCAAACUAAAAGGAAAAUUUAACUAAAUAACUUGAUCUCAAAUCAGAUAAGAGUACCCGCUGAACUUAAGCAUAUCAAUAAGCGGAGGAAAAGAAACUAACAAGGAUUCCCUUAGUAACGGCGAGUGAAGCGGGAAGAGCUCAAAUUUGAAAUCUUCAAGGUUUUACCUUGACGAAUUGUAGUUUAAAGAAGUGUUUUCUGUUGAAGUUUUGGUAAAAGUUCUUUGGAAUAGGACAUCAUAGAGGGUGAGAAUCCCGUAUUUGACCAUUAUUUUCAGCUGUGUGAUACACUUUCAAAGGGUCGGAUUGUUUGGGAAUGCAGUCCAAAAUGGGUGGUAAAUUUCAUCUAAAGCUAAAUAUUGGCGAGAGACCGAUAGCGAACAAGUACCGUGAGGGAAAGAUGAAAAGAACUUUGAAAAGAGAGUUAAACAGUACGUGAAAUUGUCAAAAGGGAAGCGUUUGACACCAGUGUUGUUUCUCAAAAAUCAAUUAAAAAGAGUUGGAUUUUGUGUUGUAUUGACCUUAACAGCUUGCUUCACUCUUUCCAGCUUUUUUUAAUGCACUUUUCGUUUAACAAGUCAACAUCAGUUUCUUUUGUUGUAAAAGGGUCAUUGGAAGGUGGCUUUCUCUUCGGAGAAAGUGUUUAUAGCCUUUGAUCUCUGCAAUCGGAGAGACUGAGGUCUGCAGCGUAGAUCCUUCGGGUUAGAUACAUUUAUGCUAAGCUACAGCUUUUCAUAGACAACUUGUUGACUAUGUUUAGUCUUGUGACUUACCCGCUUAUGCUAUUUUACCUACGCUUAGGAUGUUG